RNAcentral lists this ribosomal RNA (253 nucleotides) under uncultured bacterium. RNAcentral describes it as "partial 16S ribosomal RNA". It matches the Rfam family "Bacterial small subunit ribosomal RNA", at positions 524 to 776 of the family's 1533-position model. The record is from RNAcentral.
UACAGAGGGUGCGAGCGUUGUUCGGAAUUAUUGGGCGUAAAGGGCGCGUAGGUGGGUGCUUAAGUCCGGGGUGAAAUCCUCCAGCUCAACUGGAGAACUGCCUCGGAUACUGGGCGUCUCGAGUGUGGUAGGGGUAUGCGGAACUAUCGGUGGAGCGGUGAAAUGCGUUGAUAUCGAUAGGAACUCCGGUGGCGAAGGCGGCAUACUGGACCACCACUGACGCUGAUGCGCGAAAGCCAGGGGAGCAAACGGG